This is a long non-coding RNA of Glycine soja, 1210 nucleotides long. RefSeq lists it as uncharacterized. Lineage: Eukaryota; Viridiplantae; Streptophyta; Magnoliopsida; Fabales; Fabaceae. The record is from RefSeq and is a predicted model, not a curated record. The transcript is spliced from 3 exons.
UUUUGUUUUUUUACUACCCUUUGGUUUUUCCCCUUUGUUCAAUUUCUUAGUGUUCUGCAUUUUUUAUUGGGGUUUUCGGUCUAGUAUGGUUUGGAUUGUGUUUGGGAUUUCUCAUAUUUUGAGGGUUUUUUUUGAAAAUUAUGCUUAGGGCAAGAUUUUCGCUAGCUGGAUCUGAAAUUGAAUGGUGUAUUCGUAUUUUUUUCUUUUUGUUUUAAAACUUGAGAUGUUUUUUUUUCGUUGUGGGUGACCUCUGUGAUAAGGUUUGGGAAAUGUUUUAAUUUUUGGUUUUUUUCUGCAUAUUUGGAUUCGGUAAUUGAAAUUAAAUUUGUUGUUUUAGUGUUUUCAAUGUUUCAGAUUUGUCUUCAGGGGAUGAGGUUAUGGUGGGAAAACAUGGUUAUGAAGCUGAAAUUGAAGCAAUUGGAGCCUUGAAGGACAAUCAAUUGCAGAAGAUGCGCAAUUGUACAAAAGAGUUCUCAUGGAUAGGGUUGCCAUGGACGUGUAAAAAAUUGGUUUUAAUGGUUUAAUAAUGUUGUUUAAGCAUACAAAAAGAUAUUCUGAAACAUGCAUAUAUUGUUGUAGUCUCCUUUCUUUGUUAUGAUUUCAUCUAUAUAGUUGUUGAUAUUACAGUUAAGUCUUGCAUGUGUUCGUUGUGUUCCUUUGUUUCCCUGGAUAUGUAGUGAUUUAGUAUGCUAUGUAAGUUUAUGCAGGUUAUGGUGGGAAAACAUGGUUAUGAACUUGAAAUUGGAGCAAUUGGAGCCUUGAAGGACAAUCAAUUGCAGAAGAUGCGCAAUUGUACAAAAGAGUUCUCAUGGAUAGGGUUGCCAUGGACGUAUAAAAAAUGGUUUUAACGGUUUAGUAAGGUUGUUUAAGCAUACAAAAAGAUAUUCUGAAACAUGCAUAUAUUGUUGUAGUCUCCUUUCUUUGUUAUGAUUUUGCGUGCUAUGUAAGUUUAUGCAAUUUUUCGUGUGUAACGAGGUCACAUGGUUAUCCUCAUUUUAAUGAAUAUUUCUAUUAUGGGCGAUGUAGGAUCGAUGUCUUAGGUUUGCAUGAAUUUUAUCUGGAUUGAAGUAUAAGUUGUUUCUCUCACCCAAUGAAGCGGCCUCUGCUGGGACUCGAUACAAUCUGCCAUUAAUUAAUUCGCUUGUGCUAUAUGUAAGGAAUGCAAGUACUUUAAAUUAAAAACUUUUAAUAUUUGCCCCCACAUUAAUGC